GAUGAACGCUGGCGGCGUGCCUAAUACAUGCCAGUCGAGCGAACGGACGAGAAGCUUGCUUCUCUGAUGUUAGCGGCGGACGGGUGAGUAACACGUGGAUAACCUACCUAUAAGACUGGGAUAACUUCGGGAAACCGGAGCUAAUACCGGAUAAUAUUUUGAACCGCAUGGUUCAAAAGUGAAAGACGGUCUUGCUGUCACUUAUAGAUGGAUCCGCGCUGCAUUAGCUAGUUGGUAAGGUAACGGCUUACCAAGGCAACGAUGCAUAGCCGACCUGAGAGGGUGAUCGGCCACACUGGAACUGAGACACGGUCCAGACUCCUACGGGAGGCAGCAGUAGGGAAUCUUCCGCAAUGGGCGAAAGCCCGACGGAGCAACGCCGCGUGAGUGAUGAAGGUCUUCGGAUCGUAAAACUCUGUUAUUAGGGAAGAACAUAUGUGUAAGUAACUGUGCACAUCUUGACGGUACCUAAUCAGAAAGCCACGGCUAACUACGUG
This 497-nucleotide ribosomal RNA is filed under the name uncultured bacterium. RNAcentral's name for it is "partial 16S ribosomal RNA". It matches the Rfam family "Bacterial small subunit ribosomal RNA", at positions 28 to 507 of the family's 1533-position model. The record is from RNAcentral.